GAUGAACGCUGGCGGCGUGCCUAAUACACGCCAGUCGAGCGAACAGAUGAGGAGCUUGCUCCUCUGACGUUAGCGGCGGACGGGUGAGUAACACGUGGAUAACCUACCUAUAAGACUGGGAUAACUUCGGGAAACCGGAGCUAAUACCGGAUAAUAUAUUGAACCGCAUGGUUCAAUAGUGAAAGACGGUUUUGCUGUCACUUAUAGAUGGAUCCGCGCCGCAUUAGCUAGUUGGUAAGGUAACGGCUUACCAAGGCAACGAUGCGUAGCCGACCUGAGAGGGUGAUCGGCCACACUGGAACUGAGACACGGUCCAGACUCCUACGGGAGGCAGCAGUAGGGAAUCUUCCGCAAUGGGCGAAAGCCUGACGGAGCAACGCCGCGUGAGUGAUGAAGGUCUUCGGAUCGUAAAACUCUGUUAUUAGGGAAGAACAAAUGUGUAAGUAACUAUGCACGUCUUGACGGUACCUAAUCAGAAAGCCACGGCUAACUACGUG
This 497-nucleotide ribosomal RNA is filed under the name uncultured bacterium. RNAcentral's name for it is "partial 16S ribosomal RNA". It matches the Rfam family "Bacterial small subunit ribosomal RNA", at positions 28 to 507 of the family's 1533-position model. The record is from RNAcentral.